GACGAACGCUGGCGGCGUGCUUAACACAUGCAAGUCGAACGGAAAGGCCCUGCUUUUGUGGGGUGCUCGAGUGGCGAACGGGUGAGUAACACGUGAGUAACCUGCCCUUGACUUUGGGAUAACUUCAGGAAACUGGGGCUAAUACCGGAUAGGAGCUCCUGCUGCAUGGUGGGGGUUGGAAAGUUUCGGCGGUUGGGGAUGGACUCGCGGCUUAUCAGCUUGUUGGUGGGGUAGUGGCUUACCAAGGCUUUGACGGGUAGCCGGCCUGAGAGGGUGACCGGCCACCAUGGGACUGCGGUACGGGCCAGACUGCUACGGGGGGCAACAGUGGGGAAUAUUGCCCAAUGGGCCGGAGCCUGAUGCAGCAACGCCGCGUGCGGGAUGACGGCCUUCGGGUUGUGAACCGCUUUCGCCUGUGACGAAGCGUGAGUGACGGUAAUGGGUGAAGAAGCACCGGCUAACUACGUG
This 468-nucleotide ribosomal RNA is filed under the name uncultured bacterium. RNAcentral's name for it is "partial 16S ribosomal RNA". It matches the Rfam family "Bacterial small subunit ribosomal RNA", at positions 28 to 507 of the family's 1533-position model. The record is from RNAcentral.